AUGCUGGGUUUUAAUAGGGUUGAUUUCUCUAAAAGAAUGCGGCACAUUGUAGAGCAAUUGCAGCCUGUGAGGCAAGAUGUUACCCUGAUUCUGCAGAGUUGUGACCCCAUGACUAUCCCAGAUAUUGCCCAGAGUCGUCCUAUCACCACCGGUCAAAGUGUAGAGCCAAAAUUGUAUGGGAGGGAUCAUAUCAUGGAUACCAUCAUACAUGAUAUGACCAAGGGUAAAUACCUUAGCACUGGUCUAACUGUGCUUCCAGUUGUCGGUCCAGGGGGGAUAGGAAAGACAACCCUGAUACAACACAUAUAUCACAAUAAGGAAGUGCAAAAUCAUUUUCAUGUAGUGAUUUGGGUUUGUGUGUCUCACAGUUUCAAUCUGAAUAAGUUGCUUGAAGAUAUUAAAACAGAUAUCCCUCGGGUUGAAGGGGAAAAGGGGGAUAGACCAGAGGAGCUGAUUCCACAAAGAUUGAAAUCCAAAAGAUUCUUGCUUGUACUAGAUGACAUAUGGAAGAUUAGUAAUGAGGAUGACUGGAAAAGGUUAUUGCUGCCACUUAAAAAAUCACAAGAAGAAGGGAGUGUCAUUGUACUCACGACUCGGUUUCCAGCAAUAGCAAAGAUUGUUAAUGCAACUAAUCAUAUAGAAUUGAAAGGAUUAGAAUCUGAAGAAUUUAAGAAUUUAUUCCUUGCAUUCAUCAUUGAUGAGCCCUUUAGAAGUGAUCAAAAGUAUUUGCUCGGGAUAGGAGAUAAGAUAAUGGAAAAACUAAAGGGCUCCCCUCUUGCUGCAAAAACUGUUGGUACAUUACUGAGAAAAGACCUUAGUUUGCGUCACUGGAGAAGUGUCUUAGAAAGUAAAGAAUGGGAGACACAGACCGAGGCCAAUGACAUUAUGCCUGCCUUGAAGCUUAGUUAUGACCAUCUUACUUCUCAUCAGCAACAAUGUUUCUCUUAUUCUGCAUUAUUUCCUGAAGAUUACAAGUAUAGUGCCAAAGAGUUAAUCAACUUGUGGAUAGGACUAGAUAUUUUACAACCUGGUGGUUGGAACCAAACACUGGAAGACAUAGGUCUAAGCAUUUUAAAUGAUCUGAUCGCAUAUGGAUUUUUCGAAAAAGAGGAAACUGAUGGUCAUGUGUGUUACAUAAUGCAUGACCUACUACAUGAUUUGGCAUGGAAGGUUGCAUCUCAUGAAUGCCUUUCCGUGCAUCAUUCCAAUGUGAGUUCAGUAAAAAUUCAUCCAAGCAUCCGCCACUUGUCUAUAAUCAUUGAUUGUUAUAAAAUGUCUCAUGAAAACUUCAAGCGUGAAUUAAGAAAUCUGAAGACAAGAUUGAAGGUUAAACACUUGCAGAGUUCGAUGUUAUUUGGAAGCAUUGAUGAAAACUUUGACAUCAUUUUGGGUUAUCUGUUUAGGGAAGCAAAUGCUCUCCGUGUUCUCAGUUUGGUUGACAUGCCCUUUUCUGUGGAGUCCAUGUUACCUAACUUUUCAGCACUUGUCCACCUACGAUACCUAUGCCUGCAAAAGGAUUAUGAUAGUGAGAUGCAAUUACCACUUGCCAUAUCUAAAUUUUAUCAUUUAAAGAUUUUGGAUUUAGGAAAGUGGAAUGGCUGUUAUGAUUUGCCAAGAGAGUUAGCCAACCUUGCUAAAUUGUAUCGUAUUUAUGUCCCAAUUGGUGAGUUGCACUCUGGUAUUUCUAAUGUGGAGAAACUCAGGGUCUUAGAAGAGUUAAAGGUUUUUAGAGUCAAUAAAGAAAGUGAAGGGUUUGAACCAAGUCAACUAGAGUAUUUGACUGAACUAAGGGAGCUUGGCAUCUAUAACCUUGAGAAAAUACACAAGAAAGAAGCAGCAGCCAAAGUGAAACUGGUACAGAAAACCAAGUUGGAGAGGUUAACAUUAGAUUGGGAUAGUAAGCGGUCUAAUGUCGAGGCUAGUGCAGAAAUAGCCGUCCUUGAGAGCCUUCAGACACAUAUAUAUCUGCAAGAAUUGUGCAUUAGAGGGCAUGGUGGCCCUUCUUGUCCAACAUGGCUGGGUGAUAAGCUCGCUUUUGAAGCUCUUGAAUCUCUUCAUCUUUCUGGUAUUUAUUGGCAAUGUCUCCCUCCUUUAGGGAAGAUGUUGGGCCUUCGUAAGUUAAAAUUGGAGCAUAUUGCCAUAAUGGAGGAGUUUGUUAUAGAGGAAAGCUUUUGCAGGCUAACAAGGCUUGAGCUUGUUGGCUUGGGAGGGUUUGGAAAAUGGGUAGCAUCACAGGGUGUUGAUCAUAUGUUUCCUCUUCUGCAAGUACUCAUUAUAAGUGACUGCCCUAAACUGUUGUUGUUGCCAUUUUCAAACUACUUUGUUGACCCUAAACCAGAUGAAGGCCAGAAAAUUGGUUGGUUUCCUAAACUGCAAGUGCUUGAGAUAAGUAAUUGUCCAGAACUCAUGUUGGUGGCUCGUGUCCCAUGGACUGAAACUCUGUGUAGGGUUGAAAUAAGUGAUGUAAAGCUGCUACGGUGGUUUAGGUAUAACACAGAAUAUUCCAGUCUGACUAUUACUGGGAAGAGUAAUCUGCAGAGCUUAGAUGAGGUGGUAGCCUUCGGUAAAAUGACUAAAGAGAUUGAGCAGCUAGAACUCAAAAGGUGCCCACCUCUGCAGUCAGAGCAGUUUUCGGCGCUAACCUCACUGAAGAGAUUGCAUGUGGAUAGUUCAGAUGUCAUGUCUGGGCUAGAUGGUUCAGAUGGUGAAGAUGAUGUUGAACCAUGUGGGAAAGAUUUGUCAGAGCUCCUCACCCACCUCCCAAGGCUAUCCAUUCUGAGUAUCAGAAAGUGUAGAAAGCUUACACAACUAGCAUUGGGCGUGGAUGUGCAGCAAACAAUGCUAGCAAUAGCAACAACAGCUACAGAGGUGGAGCAGGAGAAAGAAGAAGAUGACUCAGGACUGCUGCUCUUGCCGGCCCAUCUCUCUGACACACUGAAGUCCCUGAGCAUCGAAAAGUGUCCAGAGCUAGUCCUAGUGGACCCCAGAGGAGCAGGAGGGCUCCAUGCCCUGCGAUCCCUUCAGAGAUUAUGGAUUUUUGGCAGCCCCAAGUUACUAUCCGCCCAGAGCUCCUUUUCCGGCUGCCUUUUCCCAUCCUCUCUGCAGGACCUCACUCUUCACAGCGUGAAAGGCAUGGGGACGCUGGAGCCCCUCUCAAACCUCAACUCUCUCACGCAAUUAGAAUUGAGGGGUUGCGGACGGGAUCUAAGCUGCAAGGGAUUGGGGCCUCUCCUUACCACCGGGGCCCAACUCAGACAUUUAGAAGUCUUUGGCAGCCCUAGGUUCUUUGCUGGACGGGAUCCCAGGCAGGAUAAUAAAGGAGAAAAGAAAGAGUUGCAGCAGCUUGUUUCCUCCCAGAGUUCAUCCAAACUGCAGAAGCUCCGGACAGAUGAUGCCAUGGGGCUCCUUUCUACGCCCAUCUGCAGCCUGCUAUCUUCCUCCCUCACCGAGCUGAACCUGUAUAGGACAGAGAUGGAGCACUUCACCAAGGAGCAGGAGGACGCCCUUCACCUCCUCUCCUCCCUCAAGGAACUAGAGUUUAGGUAUUUGGAAAAGCUUCAGAGCCUCCCUACAGGGCUGCACAAGCUUACCAACCUCGAGGAUCUAACAAUCCACGAAUGUCCCGCCCUCCGGUCGCUGCCCAAUGAUGGCCUGCCCAAGUCACUGCGAUGCUUAUGUGUAUCCGACUGCGGCGAUGAGGAGCUAAAACAGCAGUGCAGGGGGUUGGUUGGGACCAUCCCAUAUGUCAUGCUAGACCUCCUAUUCUAG
RNAcentral lists this ribosomal RNA (3768 nucleotides) under Triticum aestivum (bread wheat). Its description in RNAcentral is "partial small subunit ribosomal RNA". Lineage: Eukaryota; Viridiplantae; Streptophyta; Magnoliopsida; Poales; Poaceae. The record is from RNAcentral.